This 74-nucleotide transfer RNA is filed under the name Bacteroidales bacterium. Its description in RNAcentral is "tRNA-Asp". It matches the Rfam family "tRNA". From Rfam's summary of the family: Transfer RNA (tRNA) molecules are approximately 80 nucleotides in length. Lineage: Bacteria; Pseudomonadati; Bacteroidota; Bacteroidia; Bacteroidales. The record is from RNAcentral. RNAcentral also lists the same sequence under 3 other names.
GGUGCGUUAGUUCAGCUGGUUAGAAUGCCUGCCUGUCACGCAGGAGGUCACCGGUUCGAGUCCGGUACGCACCG